This 497-nucleotide ribosomal RNA is filed under the name uncultured bacterium. RNAcentral's name for it is "partial 16S ribosomal RNA". It matches the Rfam family "Bacterial small subunit ribosomal RNA", at positions 28 to 507 of the family's 1533-position model. The record is from RNAcentral.
GAUGAACGCUGGCGGCGUGCCUAAUACAUGCCAGUCGAGCGAACAGACGAGGAGCUUGCUCCUCUGACGUUAGCGGCGGACGGGUGAGUAACACGUGGAUAACCUACCUAUAAGACUGGGAUAACUUCGGGAAACCGGAGCUAAUACCGGAUAAUAUAUUGAACCGCAUGGUUCAAUAGUGAAAGACGGUUUUGCUGUCACUUAUAGAUGGAUCCGCGCCGCAUUAGCUAGUUGGUAAGGUAACGGCUUACCAAGGCAACGAUGCAUAGCCGACCUGAGAGGGUGAUCGGCCACACUGGAACUGAGACACGGUCCAGACUCCUACGGGAGGCAGCAGUAGGGAAUCUUCCGCAAUGGGCGAAAGCUUGACGGAGCAACGCCGCGUGAGUGAUGAAGGUCUUCGGAUCGUAAAACUCUGUUAUUAGGGAAGAACAAAUGUGUAAGUAACUAUGCACGUCUUGACGGUACCUAAUCAGAAAGCCACGGCUAACUACGUG